This 1242-nucleotide ribosomal RNA is filed under the name metagenome. Its description in RNAcentral is "bacterial LSU rRNA". It matches the Rfam family "Bacterial large subunit ribosomal RNA", at positions 1564 to 2818 of the family's 2925-position model. The record is from RNAcentral.
UGAAUACGAGACGCUAAGGCGUCGAAGUAGUGUAUGUCAUACUUCCAAGAAAAGCUUGCACUGUCAUAGAUAAAAAACGCCUGUACCAUAACCGACACAGGUGGGUAGGUAGAGUAUACUAAGGGGCGCGAGAUAACUCUCUCUAAGGAACUCGGCAAAAUAACUCCGUAACUUCGGGAGAAGGAGUGCCUUAUUCGUAAGGUUGCAAUAACAAGAUCCAAGCAACUGUUUAUCAAAAACACAGGUCUCCGCUAAGUCGUAAGACGAUGUAUGGGGGCUGACGCCUGCCCAGUGCCAGAAGGUUAAAGAAGUUGGUUAGCAAUUGCGAAGCUGAUAACUGAAGCCCUGGUGAACGGCGGCCGUAACAAUAACGGUCCUAAGGUAGCGAAAUUCCUUGUCGGGUAAGUUCCGACCCGCACGAAAGGCGUAAUGAUUUGGAUACUGUCUCGGAGAGGGGCUCGGUGAAAUAGACUUGUCUGUGAAGAUGCGGACUACCUGCACCAGGACAGAAAGACCCUAUGAAGCUUUACUGUAACUUGAAAUUGAAAUUGGACUUUAUUCGCGCAGUAUAGGUGGGAGGCGUUGAAUAUAAUCUUGUGGGAUUAUUGGAGCCAUCAGUGAGAUACCACUCUUGUAAUGUUAGAUUUCUAACUUUGAAUCAUUAUCUGGUCAAAGAACAGUUUCAGGCGGGCAGUUUGACUGGGGCGGUCCUCCUAAACGGUAACGGAGGCGUACAAAGGUUUCCUCUGAACGGUUAGAAAUCGUAUCUAGAGUGUAAAGGCAUAAGGAAGCUUGACUGUGAGACCUACAAGUCGAGCAGGGACGAAAGUCGGUCUUAGUGAUCUGACGGUACUGAGUGGAAAGGCCGUCACUCAACGGAUAAAAGUUACUCUAAGGAUAACAGGCUGAUCUCCCCCAAGAGUUCACAUCGACGGGGAGGUUUGGCACCUCGAUGUCGGCUCAUCGCAUCCUGGGGCGGUAGUACGUCCCAAGGGUUGGGCUGUUCGCCCAUGAAAGCGGUACGCGAGCUGGGUUCAGAACGUCGUGAGACAGUUCGGUCCAUAUCCGGUGUAGGCGUUAGAAUAUUGAGAGGAGCCUUCUUUAGUACGAGAGGACCGAGAAGGACAUACCUCUGGUGUACCAGUUAUCGUGCCACGGUAAACGCUGGGUAGCUAUGUAUGGAGUGGAUAACCGCUGAAAGCAUCUAAGUGGGAAGCCCACCUCAAGAUAAGUAUUCUCAUC